Molecule: ribosomal RNA, 569 nt
Filed under: uncultured Gammaproteobacteria bacterium
Lineage: Bacteria; Pseudomonadati; Pseudomonadota; Gammaproteobacteria
Description: bacterial SSU rRNA
Rfam family: Bacterial small subunit ribosomal RNA
Source: RNAcentral
UCGAUUUGGAGUUUGUUGCCUUGAGUGAUGGGCUCCGAAGCUAACGCGAUAAAUCGACCGCCUGGGGAGUACGGCCGCAAGGUUAAAACUCAAAUGAAUUGACGGGGGCCCGCACAAGCGGUGGAGCAUGUGGUUUAAUUCGAUGCAACGCGAAGAACCUUACCUGGUCUUGACAUCCACAGAAUCUUGCAGAGAUGCGAGAGUGCCUUCGGGAACUGUGAGACAGGUGCUGCAUGGCUGUCGUCAGCUCGUGUUGUGAAAUGUUGGGUUAAGUCCCGCAACGAGCGCAACCCUUAUCCUUUGUUGCCAGCGGUUUGGCCGGGAACUCAAAGGAGACUGCCGUUGAUAAAGCGGAGGAAGGUGGGGACGACGUCAAGUCAUCAUGGCCCUUACGACCAGGGCUACACACGUGCUACAAUGGCGUAUACAAAGGGAGGCGACCUCGCGAGAGCAAGCGGACCUCACAAAGUACGUCUAAGUCCGGAUUGGAGUCUGCAACUCGACUCCAUGAAGUCGGAAUCGCUAGUAAUCGUGAAUCAGAAUGUCACGGUGAAUACGUUCCCGGGCCU